UUUUUUAAAUGUUUCGAAAUGGCCCUAAGCCCAUCUAUUGAGUCUCGACCCUCUCGUUUCGAUGACCCCAUCAACUUCUCUCUUCAAUGAUCUCAAUCUCUCAGGAGAUAGAGACUGUGAGGAGUUACUACAACAAGCUAAGCGCUCUUAAUUUGGAGGUGAAAGCAAAGAAACAAGGGGUAUUCAUCAGUUCCUUGGGAGAACCUAACUGGCCACACAUCACACAAAAAUGUACGAUGGUCUCACCCUGGUCCAUUGUGACUUGAGUUGCAUGGGGGUUGGCUUCAACUAAUAGUUUCAACACGUCAACCUUGCCCUUCAUGACUGCAAGAUGGAGUGGGUUUCUACCAUCUUUGUCAAGAGCUAGGCACAUGUUAGAAUCUACCGAUAUCAAUGCUUGUACAACCUUGAUGUGCCCUUUUGCUGAUGCUAAGUGCAGGGGCGAGCUUGUGAAGAGUCCAAAACUUCAACAAGAUCUGGAUUUAGAUGUAGAACUUAUGUCGCGAAUUCUUCAUGCCUACGCAAUGUAGCCAUAUGCAAAGGAGUCCCACCGAAGCAGCCAAAGAGAGCUAGUGAGAAUGGAACAGAGGCUUCACGGAGCAGCAAUAAAAGGCAAUGUUACAUUAUUACAUCAAAUACUCAAGAGAAGAUCCACUAGUUCUUGAUAGAAUGAACUUUGGUAGGUUUGGUUGGAGCCCUUUGCAUGUUGCUACAUUGCCUGGGCAUGCAGACUUUGUGAGGGAAGUUUUGCGUUGAAAUUUAGAUCUUGCUGACGUUUUGGACUCUUCACAACGCUUGCCUCUUCACCUAGCGUUAGUAAAGGGGCACGUUGAGGUUGUAAAAGCGUUGAUAUCAGUAGAUUCUGACACGUGUCUUGCUCGUGACAAAGAUGGUAAAAAUGCAUUACAUCUUGUAGUCAUGAAGGGUAAGGUCGAUGCGUUGAAAGUGUUAGUUCAAGCCAAUUCCCAAGCAGCUGAAGUCGUGAUGGAUUGAGGUACAGGUAGCAUGCCACCUCAAAGGACAUAGCUUGGGAGGCUAGAGACAGACAGACG
Camellia sinensis is the source of this 1052-nucleotide RNA transcript. RefSeq lists it as uncharacterized. Lineage: Eukaryota; Viridiplantae; Streptophyta; Magnoliopsida; Ericales; Theaceae. The record is from RefSeq and is a predicted model, not a curated record.